RNAcentral lists this ribosomal RNA (1394 nucleotides) under Salmonella enterica subsp. enterica serovar Virchow. RNAcentral describes it as "partial 23S ribosomal RNA". It matches the Rfam family "Bacterial large subunit ribosomal RNA", at positions 1270 to 2647 of the family's 2925-position model. The record is from RNAcentral. Lineage: Bacteria; Pseudomonadati; Pseudomonadota; Gammaproteobacteria; Enterobacterales; Enterobacteriaceae.
UUGCUGGAGGUAUCAGAAGUGCGAAUGCUGACAUAAGUAACGAUAAAGCGGGUGAAAAGCCCGCUCGCCGGAAGACCAAGGGUUCCUGUCCAACGUUAAUCGGGGCAGGGUGAGUCGACCCCUAAGGCGAGGCCGAAAGGCGUAGUCGAUGGGAAACGGGUUAAUAUUCCCGUACUUGGUGUUACUGCGAAGGGGGGACGGAGAAGGCUAUGUUGGCCGGGCGACGGUUGUCCCGGUUUAAGCGUGUAGGUGUGUGUUCCAGGUAAAUCCGGUUCACUUUAACACUGAGGCGUGACGACGAGGCACUACGGUGCUGAAGCAACAAAUGCCCUGCUUCCAGGAAAAGCCUCUAAGCAUCAGGUAACAUCAAAUCGUACCCCAAACCGACACAGGUGGUCAGGUAGAGAAUACCAAGGCGCUUGAGAGAACUCGGGUGAAGGAACUAGGCAAAAUGGUGCCGUAACUUCGGGAGAAGGCACGCUGACACGUAGGUGAAGUGAUUUACUCAUGGAGCUGAAGUCAGUCGAAGAUACCAGCUGGCUGCAACUGUUUAUUAAAAACACAGCACUGUGCAAACACGAAAGUGGACGUAUACGGUGUGACGCCUGCCCGGUGCCGGAAGGUUAAUUGAUGGGGUCAGCGCAAGCGAAGCUCCUGAUCGAAGCCCCGGUAAACGGCGGCCGUAACUAUAACGGUCCUAAGGUAGCGAAAUUCCUUGUCGGGUAAGUUCCGACCUGCACGAAUGGCGUAAUGAUGGCCAGGCUGUCUCCACCCGAGACUCAGUGAAAUUGAACUCGCUGUGAAGAUGCAGUGUACCCGCGGCAAGACGGAAAGACCCCGUGAACCUUUACUAUAGCUUGACACUGAACAUUGAGCCUUGAUGUGUAGGAUAGGUGGGAGGCUUUGAAGUGUGGACGCCAGUCUGCAUGGAGCCGACCUUGAAAUACCACCCUUUAAUGUUUGAUGUUCUAACGUGGACCCGUAAUCCGGGUUGCGGACAGUGUCUGGUGGGUAGUUUGACUGGGGCGGUCUCCUCCUAAAGAGUAACGGAGGAGCACGAAGGUUGGCUAAUCCUGGUCGGACAUCAGGAGGUUAGUGCAAUGGCAUAAGCCAGCUUGACUGCGAGCGUGACGGCGCGAGCAGGUGCGAAAGCAGGUCAUAGUGAUCCGGUGGUUCUGAAUGGAAGGGCCAUCGCUCAACGGAUAAAAGGUACUCCGGGGAUAACAGGCUGAUACCGCCCAAGAGUUCAUAUCGACGGCGGUGUUUGGCACCUCGAUGUCGGCUCAUCACAUCCUGGGGCUGAAGUAGGUCCCAAGGGUAUGGCUGUUCGCCAUUUAAAGUGGUACGCGAGCUGGGUUUAGAACGUCGUGAGACAGUUCGGUCCCUAUCUGCCG